UGAAAUGCGCAGAUAUCAAGAAGGAACACCCGAUGGCGAAGGCAGAUCUCUGGCCGGUAACUGACGNUNAGGAGCGAAAGCGUGGGGAGCGAACAGGAUUAGAUACCCUGGUAGUCCACGCCGUAAACGUUGGGCGCUAGAUGUAGGACCUUUCCACGGUUUCUGUGUCGUAGCUAACGCAUUAAGCGCCCCGCCUGGGGAGUACGGCCGCAAGGCUAAAACUCAAAGGAAUUGACGGGGGCCCGCACAAGCGGCGGAGCAUGCGGAUUAAUUCGAUGCAACGCGAAGAACCUUACCAAGGCUUGACAUACACCGGAAACGGCCAGAGAUGGUCGCCCCCUUGUGGUCGGUGUACAGGUGGUGCAUGGUUGUCGUCAGCUCGUGUCGUGAGAUGUUGGGUUAAGUCCCGCAACGAGCGCAACCCUCGUUCUAUGUUGCCAGCGCGUUAUGGCGGGGACUCAUAGGAGACUGCCGGGGUCAACUCGGAGGAAGGUGGGGAUGACGUCAAAUCAUCAUGCCCCUUAUGUCUUGGGCUUCACGCAUGCUACAAUGGCCGGUACAAAGGGCUGCGAUACCGUAAGGUGGAGNGAAUCCCAAAAAGCCGGUNUCAGUUNGGAUUGAGGUNUGCAACUCGACCUCAUGNAGUCGGA
This 650-nucleotide ribosomal RNA is filed under the name Curtobacterium luteum. RNAcentral's name for it is "bacterial SSU rRNA". It matches the Rfam family "Bacterial small subunit ribosomal RNA", at positions 682 to 1330 of the family's 1533-position model. The record is from RNAcentral. Lineage: Bacteria; Bacillati; Actinomycetota; Actinomycetes; Micrococcales; Microbacteriaceae.